UCCCCAGGGCAGUAGGAAUUGAUAUCUC
RNAcentral lists this non-coding RNA (28 nucleotides) under Callithrix jacchus (white-tufted-ear marmoset). Lineage: Eukaryota; Metazoa; Chordata; Mammalia; Primates; Cebidae. RNAcentral also lists the same sequence under 1 other name. The record is from RNAcentral.